This 468-nucleotide ribosomal RNA is filed under the name uncultured bacterium. RNAcentral describes it as "partial 16S ribosomal RNA". It matches the Rfam family "Bacterial small subunit ribosomal RNA", at positions 28 to 507 of the family's 1533-position model. The record is from RNAcentral.
GACGAACGCUGGCGGCGUGCUUAACACAUGCAAGUCGAACGGAAAGGCCCUGCUUUUGUGGGGUGCUCGAGUGGCGAACGGGUGAGUAACACGUGAGUAACCUGCCCUUGACUUUGGGAUAACUUCAGGAAACUGGGGCUAAUACCGGAUAGGAGCUCCUGCUGCAUGGUGGGGGUUGGAAAGUUUCGGCGGUUGGGGGUGGACUCGCGGCUUAUCAGCUUGUUGGUGGGGUAGUGGCUUACCAAGGCUUUGACGGGUAGCCGGCCUGAGAGGGUGACCGGCCACAUUGGGACUGAGAUACGGCCCAGACUCCUACGGGAGGCAGCAGUGGGGAAUAUUGCACAAUGGGCGGAAGCCUGAUACAGCAACGCCGCGUGCGGGAUGACGGCCUUCGGGUUGUAAACCGCUUUCGCCUGUGACGAAGCGUGAGUGACGGUAAUGGGUAAAGAAGCACCGGCUAACUACGUG